AGUGCAAUUGCUGGGUCAUAUGGUAGUUACAUGUUUAGGAGUUUUGGGGGUUUUUUUAGCUGUCAAACUGUUUUUUCCACAGUGACUAUACAGUUUUGAAUUCCUGCCAGCAAU
This 114-nucleotide microRNA precursor is filed under the name Marmota monax (woodchuck). The record is from RNAcentral. Lineage: Eukaryota; Metazoa; Chordata; Mammalia; Rodentia; Sciuridae.